UCAUGGGAAGGGCAGAGAACUUUACAGCUGUAAAACCACCUGUUGUAAGAAAGCAAAGUACUGUUCUGGAACAGCCACAGCUGAUGUGCUGAGGCGUAGGGAAACAUUUUCUAUAUUUUAUUCUAUCAGACAGGGGCCUAUUUCACAACUUCCCUCUGUUUCUGUGCCUUCAAUCCAUUUCAGUGAAACCUGUCUCCCAGGACAUCCCUUUCCCAAAGAAGGCAACCAAGUAUCGGCAGUGAGAAUUGCCUCUGAAUUUACUUUGGUGAAUUCCAUCAAUAAAAAGUGGUGUGAGGACUGUCUGUAACAAGUUUCUCAACGGUAAAGUAAACUUGUGAUGAUCAUGCCCAAAUACAGAGUAACCAAAUGACUUUCCUGUUUUGUACAUACAUCAUUACCAGUGGCUAACAGUAGGAGGGAUGCUCCAGCCAUCUGAGCGUCCUCAUGGCCCUCCUCUGGACUGACUACAACAGGCCCAUGUCCUUCUCAUGCUGAAUGCACUACAUCAGAACCCAAAAAUAAGUGCAGAUUUAGAGAAUCCUGGAAUUAUCAGCGGAGUCCAAAGCCAGCAUUUGUUACAAUCAAUUCGGAGGUGGUCAAGCACAUAUUCAUCAGCAGAAAUAAGCAUUC
This is a long non-coding RNA of Gallus gallus (chicken), 630 nucleotides long. RefSeq lists it as uncharacterized. The record is from RefSeq and is a predicted model, not a curated record. The transcript has 5 exons. Lineage: Eukaryota; Metazoa; Chordata; Aves; Galliformes; Phasianidae.